RNAcentral lists this transfer RNA (64 nucleotides) under Sandaracinus sp. RNAcentral describes it as "tRNA-Arg". Lineage: Bacteria; Pseudomonadati; Myxococcota; Polyangiales; Sandaracinaceae. The record is from RNAcentral. RNAcentral also lists the same sequence under 2 other names.
GCCUCGGAAGAGGCGCGGCCUCCGGAGCCGAAGGUCAGUGGUUCGAAUCCACUAGGGUCCGCCA